Molecule: ribosomal RNA, 385 nt
Filed under: Clostridioides difficile
Lineage: Bacteria; Bacillati; Bacillota; Clostridia; Peptostreptococcales; Peptostreptococcaceae
Description: bacterial LSU rRNA
Rfam family: Bacterial large subunit ribosomal RNA
Source: RNAcentral
GCGACUGCAGUUACUUGACGUAGCCCCGAAACCUGUCGCCCUACCCAUGAGCAGGAUGAAUCGAAAGUAAAAUUUCGUGGAGGUCCGAACCCACGAGCGUUGAAAAGCGCGGUGAUGACUUGUGGGUAGCGGUGAAAGUCCUAUCGAGCCCGGAGAUAGCUGGUUCUCCCCGAAAUAGCUUUAGGGCUAGCCUCAAGGUGAGAUAUACGGAGGUAGAGCACUGAAUGUCCUAGUGGGUAUUGCACAUACAGAAGAAUAUCAAAAUACGAAUGCAGUCAUCUUAUACUUGGGAGUUAGAAUGUGGGUGAUAAGAUUAAUAGUAGAAAGGGAAAUAGAAAAGAGAGUAAGAUAAGGGAAAGAAAGGUAAGGUAAGUGGUAAAGGAUG